This 495-nucleotide ribosomal RNA is filed under the name uncultured bacterium. Its description in RNAcentral is "partial 16S ribosomal RNA". It matches the Rfam family "Bacterial small subunit ribosomal RNA", at positions 30 to 507 of the family's 1533-position model. The record is from RNAcentral.
UGAACGAUGGCGGCGUGCCUACUACAUGCAAGUCGAGCGAACGGACGAGAAGCUUGCUUCUCUGAUGUUAGCGGCGGACGGGUGAGUAACACGUGGAUAACCUACCUAUAAGACUGGGAUAACUUCGGGAAACCGGAGCUAAUACCGGAUAAUAUUUUGAACCGCAUGGUUCAAAAGUGAAAGACGGUCUUGCUGUCACUUAUAGAUGGAUCCGCGCUGCAUUAGCUAGUUGGUAAGGUAACGGCUUACCAAGGCAACGAUGCAUAGCCGACCUGAGAGGGUGAUCGGUCACACUGGAACUGAGACACGGUCCAGACUCCUACGGGAGGCAGCAGUAGGGAAUCUUCCGCAAUGGGCGAAAGCCUGACGGAGCAACGCCGCGUGAGUGAUGAAGGUCUUCGGAUCGUAAAACUCUGUUAUUAGGGAAGAACAUAUGUGUAAGUAACUGUGCACAUCUUGACGGUACCUAAUCAGAAAGCCACGGCUAACUACGUG